Molecule: ribosomal RNA, 108 nt
Filed under: Diadegma semiclausum
Lineage: Eukaryota; Metazoa; Arthropoda; Insecta; Hymenoptera; Ichneumonidae
Description: partial 5.8S ribosomal RNA
Rfam family: 5.8S ribosomal RNA
About the family: 5.8S ribosomal RNA (5.8S rRNA) is a component of the large subunit of the eukaryotic ribosome. It is transcribed by RNA polymerase I as part of the 45S precursor that also contains 18S and 28S rRNA.
Source: RNAcentral
CAGCUAAUUGCGCGUCAACUUGUGAACUGCAGGACACAUGAACAUCGACAUUUCGAACGCACAUUGCGGUCCACGGAUACAAUUCCCGGACCACGCCUGGCUGAGGGU